Molecule: transfer RNA, 82 nt
Filed under: Trametopsis cervina
Lineage: Eukaryota; Fungi; Basidiomycota; Agaricomycetes; Polyporales; Irpicaceae
Description: tRNA-Ile
Rfam family: tRNA
About the family: Transfer RNA (tRNA) molecules are approximately 80 nucleotides in length.
Source: RNAcentral
GGCCGACUAGCUCAGUUGGUUAGAGCGUGGUGCUAAUACUUACGUAACGCCAAGGUCGUCGGUUCGACCCCGGCGUUGGCCA